This 315-nucleotide ribosomal RNA is filed under the name uncultured bacterium. RNAcentral's name for it is "bacterial SSU rRNA". It matches the Rfam family "Bacterial small subunit ribosomal RNA", at positions 1057 to 1397 of the family's 1533-position model. The record is from RNAcentral.
ACUGGUUUGUAAAUGUGGGUUAAGUCCGCAAAGAGGCAACCCUUGUCUUUAUUCCAGCGGGUAUACGGGAACUCAGGAGAGUGCCGGUGACAAACAGGAGAAGGGGGGGGGAAGCAAGAACAUGGCCCUUACGAGUAGGGCUACACACCUGUCAAGGCCGACAAAAGGGCAGCGACUGAGGGAAGUCAGCUAAUUCGAAAAGCCGGUCUCAGUCCGGAUGGGAGUCUGCAACUCGACUCCAUGAAGUCGGAAUCGCUAGUAAUCGUGAAUCAGAAUGGCGGUGAAUACGUUCCCGGGCCUGUACACACCGCCCGU